GGAGCUAGAAAUGUGAUGGGGAGAAACUCAAGGAGCCUGGAAGAAGCUAAUGGACAUGCCUGAAAGCAGAAAGCUAACUUUAAUUAAGUCUCAUCCCUUGCCUGUCAAACCUCGAUGCCCCCUUUGUAACAGCUUGCUUCCAGGCCUCCACAGGUGUUGCUACAUGGAACAGUCUAGUGAAACAUACACAACUUUCACUCAAAUAUUGUUUUCUCAAAUAUAGUUUUACUCUGUUUUACAACUCAUGUCCUAAACAGGCCUGUUCAGGGUGAAAAAGUGUGUAGGUUUGGACCAAAAAGGGAGCAAUCUAUGAUGGGCUGAAGUGAAGGUUUUUAGAAGUGGUGUUAUUGAUAUGCCUCACUGUUCCAUAUUGUGCGUCAUGUGCUAUGUUACAAGUUAAGACUUCUCAGUAUCUUUUCUUUGAACCCCCCCCAAUAUUUUUUCCUGAUUAGGAGCUGAUGCUCUUCAUCACAAGCUCUUUGUACCUCUAAUAAAGCCUGCUUUCUCCCAGGCAAUCUUGAGGCAUGCUGGGACCAUGCAGACGGCUGUGUCCUCUCACUCCAGUGCUGGCCUAUGACCUUACAAGUAGGGUCAGUCAACAUGCUACAAAGCUUUCCUUGCCAUUUAUCAAAUAACAAAGCAAACCAAAUUACAUAGUUUCUAUAGCAGGCCACUACAGUAUGUAAACUGCAGAGAGGGCUUACACUGCUCGCUCAUUCUGAGGUGCCGACAACAUGAAAGGCCCUUUCGUUCCAGUGCCCAGAGCCUGUAUUUGCCUAUCUCACCUAUUACCAGGAAACAAAGGGGCUGCAGAGGUUGAGCAAGCAAAUGGAAAAUGAAAAUGGAAGAAAAAACAACUGCCUGUCUUCGAAGAAAUGUUUGUCUAAAAUGUAUGCAGACAUGUCUCGGGGAGUUUAUCGGUGCUGAGGGCCCCUCUCCCUGGCUGAGAGCUGCUCUCCCUCUGGAGUAAUAGAGUCAAAGAAAGGUUGAGGCAAUGUCUCCUUUAACUGUAUAAUGUAUUUAUCCUCCCAACUGGUGAAAUGCUCAAUAGCUGUCAUGAUUAAUCAAUUGUAUUAGUAUUUCAUCUCAGCCAGUCCCAGUCAUGCGUAUCACUACAGAUGUAUUUUCUGAGAUGUGCAGCAGCAUUUCCAGUGCUGCCAAAAUCAGCUGUUUUAGUUUUGGAGCGGUGAGAACAUAUCAUCAGGUGAAAUUUGUCAUUAUUCAGGAAGUCUACUCAAAGCUGUGAGUGAAUUAAGCUGCGAAGAGACCUCCCCUUCAAAAUCUAUCUGCUUCACUGAGAGAAGCUACUGCUCCUGGAUAUGGAUUUCCAUUCCCUGUGCACACUCAGGCUUUACUGCCUUUGCUGGUCUGCCAGGGAACUUAGUUCAUGUCAGGUGAGCAUGCCUGGAUGGGCAUAGACCAGUCAUGUAAACGGUGUAAACAAGUCCUCUUGGUUUUGUCUGAGCUCUGUCAAGUGUCUGCAUCCUCCACAAGGGAAGUGGUCACAGGCAUUUAAGGUUUGUCAUCUGCUUGCUCAUGAAGCUGCACUUGGAAGGAAAUGCAUGCUUGCAGUCCAGGACCUGGCAGGUUGCUAACUUUUGUGAAGGUUAAACUUAUUUGACAAAUGAUUGUGGUAUGGACAUGUGCUCCCCCUCUGCUCAGCAGUGGUGAGGCCACGUCUGCAUGGUGUAGGCACAAAAAUAGUGGUACAGGAGAGAUGGGUGUGAGUGAGCCCAGAAAAAGGCUGAAAAGAUAAUGAAAGGUUUGAAACAUUUAUGUUAUGAAGAGAGGCUGAGAGGGUUGGGAUUUUCCAGUCUUGAGAAGAGAAGGCUCAGGAAGGCCUCAUAAUUGUGAACAAAUACUUGAUGGCUGGGAAGUAAAGAAGAUGGACAGCCAGGAUCUUCACAGCAAUGCCCAAUGAAAGGGCUGGAGACAAGGGACAUAACUGAAAGUAGUUUGGUUUAAAAGUAAGAUCUAUUUUAGCAUAAGGAUGAUUGAACACUGGGACGAGUUUCCCAGCGAGGUUGUGGAGUCUUCACCUUCAGAGAUGUUCAGAAAUCCACUUGACACACUCCUGCACACCCUUCUUCAGCUCACCCUACUCAAGUGGGAGUGGGUAGAAAUGAUUUACAGAAGUCUCUUCCCACUUCAUCUGUUCGGGGUUAAUCUGUGGUUUACUGCCCUACAGUGAGCACAGAACCUCCUCUGAAUCUGAAUUUCAGAGCUGCUGAAGAACUUCCAAAGAUGGAAGGGAUGGAAUGUACACACAGAGGGCAAACUUUGAGAAGGAGUUAAUAUGUACUGGCAUGAGGAUGUCUGCAUACAUCCACGGAGAAACUUUUCCAACUUCUUUUUUUUUUGACUCAGCAAAACAGUUGUUUUAAUGAAAGGCGCUUAUCUAGGCAGAAAGUAGGAAAGAGAAGCAAGGGAUGAGUGCAGUGAGUUGAAUGGUGAUUGCACAAGAGUUGGCAAAUGCAACUAUUUCCAAAUAUAAUGGCAUUAAGUGUUCAUUGUGAAAUUAGAUCAGCUUUUUAAGAGCUGCAGGGUGAAAAAACACAGUAUUCAGCUAAUUAGACAAAGUAAAAAGAUAAUGUUAAAUUCUUUUCCUUCAAAAAGUAUUUGUCUGCACUACCAUGAAUUUUAAAAUAGAACUGCUAGAGAUGGCAGUGUUAUCAAGUGAUCUGCCAUUAAAGGAAUUAUAAUUCAGGUCUUUUUAAUUCCCUAUUGUGGAAAUCUUUAAAUUAGAAUAUAUCUAAACUGUACAAAUCUGUAGUUCUCCUAGAACAAUGCUGACACAGUUCUCUGAUGUUCAUUAAAAAUUUUUAUGCCUUGAUUUCUAUAUAAUGGAACAGGAAGAAAUUUAACUGCAUUUACUGGCUUUUGUGCCCAGUCCAGCUAAUUACUAAAGCAUCAGCCCAACUUUCAACAUGUAAGUAGUUUAAUCAAAGUUGGUAAGACUACUGACAUGCUUAAAUGUACUGAAACUGUGGUUGCCAUUCUUCAUUUUAAGUGUCAUGAGUCAAAGGCUAUCCUUUUGUGACACUCUUCAAGUCACAGAAUCACAGAAUAUGCUGAGCUGGAAGGGACCCACAAAGAUCAUCGAGUCCAGCUCCUGGCCCUGGUCAGGACACCCCAAGACUCACACCAUGUGCCUGAGAGCCUUGUCUAAACAUUACUUGAACUCUGUCAAGCUUGAGGCUGUGACCACUGCCCUGAGGAGCCUCUCCAGCACCCAACUGCCUCCUGAAUGAAGAACUUUUUCAUAAGUCAUGAAGUUAAACAUCAAACGUAUAUCAAGUUGAGACUAUUAGAACUGAAAUCAAAUUAAUUUUCUUUUGAUAACUUACAUCUGUACAUUUAAAACCUCUUGUAUGUCUUCAUUGGCAGUUAAAAGUGCUUUGCUCAGAAAUUUUGAGGCUCUUUAAUAGACUCUAGCAGCAAGAAAGCUUGGUGAUCAAUCUCCUUGAAAAAUAAAAUUUAAAAAAUCUUAUUUAUCAGAAAAACAAUUGUUCUGUGCUUCCAAUAGAUACUUUAUAAUCUUUCAUUAACAAAGCAAUUUGACCUUUUUUUCCUUUACCCAAGGAAUGUAGAAUUAACUACUGAAACACAAAUAAUGUUACUGAGUAUAUACUUCCAUUUUGUUUGGCUUUUAACUAUUUUCUAUCUUACUUUUGUUGCUAAAGCUCUUUGAGAUUGAAAGGGUUGGUGUGGGAUUGGGGCAUAAUUUGAAACGGGCAUUUGGUUAGUAUUGGAAGUUUAUUGUCUAGGGUUUUUUUGGGUUUUUUUUGUUGUUUGGUUUUUUUUUUGAGUUUGGAUGAGAUUUGCUGUCAUUCUCCUAAAGACACCAUGUAUCCAAAUUACUUAUUUUGCUCCUCUUAUCCCAGAUACAAAACAAUUUAAUGAUGCACUUAUCCUUAAACAUGUGCUUGCAUAUACCCUUGUGUAAGGAUGUGAGUGUGUACUGGUAUAGCUUGCUGAAUUAAGGGGCAGAAGCACAUAGUAAUUUGAGUAUAAAAUGUACUUGUCUGUCCCUGGGGGCCAUGGGCAUGCUUUUCAUAGUUAGUAUAAUAUUUCCAGUAUUUGCUGCAAACAGAAAUUAAAUCUUAAAAUAACUCCACAACUCGUGCCACUUGUCUGUGUUUCCACAUGCAAUCUGUUCAUGGGGAGGCAAGGAGCUGCUUCUCUCAGACCUGUGAGCAGGGCAGUGCCCAGCCUUGGGACAAACCUUGUCCUGAUCAGGGUCACCCCAUGCUCAGGGCUCUGGAGAAGGUGCCCAACUCCCUCACAAUCUGUGUACCAUAAGGAGCUACUAAGAUGCAUUGGAUCAUGUAAUUAAAAAUAGAUUUUCAAGCAAUAAUUCUGAGGUCAUGCACUGCCAUUCCAAUGUUUGAUUUCACAUAAAUUGAACAGUGUGUCACUGCUCCUUACAAAUACAUUCUAUCUUAAGAAUUUUAUCUUAUUGCCUUUCUUUGGGCCAUAUCUGGAGAAUAUUGUGCCUGGCAUAGAAGUUAGUUACUAGAUUACUGGAACUUUUUUUCUGAGUUGUAAGGGAUUUUCUUAGCCUGUCUUAAAUUAACAAAGUGUACUUGAAAGAAACUUGCAGUUCUUUGUCUGCAGAUGGAAAGCCUCUCACAGGCUUCUGUAGAAGCUAGUCUGGGUGUAGAGAUGAAAAAGAGAGUCUUAAUGCUGAAGAAACCUUGCAUUCAAAAACAUUGAAGAACUCUCUUUGUAAAUGAUCUGCCCAGUGCAGUCCUGAAUAAAUUAGUCCAAACAUAAGUAACAUUACCGGUCAACAACAGCUAAAACCAAUUGUUUGUGAAUAGUUCUCUAUUAUUUUGUAAUUCAUAACAACUGCACACUAAUUUUGUCAUGUUUUUACAUAUCAGAUGAAAAAAAAAAGGCAAUUGAGAAUACAAUUUUCUUUAUGAUUUUUUACAUUUUUCAGAUCAUCUUGAAUGGAAUGAUAAAGUAUUUUCUGAAGGAAAAAACCCCAAAUGUGUCCUGAACAAAGGGUACUUACUCUGGGGAUCAUUUUUAUUAAAAUAGCAAAUAGUUAGAAUGAGUGGUCCAUGAAGUUUCAGUUGGAAACAAAAGAAAUCAUAAGAAUUUGCCUGUUUACUAAAGCUAGAUUCUCUCCAGCAAGAAAUAGCUUCUGCUAAUGUGAGAACAGCAUAAUGUAAACUUUCACAGUGUGUAAAUAACACUUCAUUAAGUUUCUUUUUCCUUUUGAAAGUAUCUUGUCUUGAACAGAGGGGCAAAUUCUACCAAGUGGAACUGCUUUCACCUUUGCAUGAUAGGGAUGUAAUUGCAAAUAGCCCUAGGUGUUCUUCUUGUGCUAUUUAUUUAAGGUAUUUAUACAAUAAUAAAAACCAUUGAGAUGAAACC
Molecule: long non-coding RNA, 5385 nt
Organism: Taeniopygia guttata (zebra finch)
Lineage: Eukaryota; Metazoa; Chordata; Aves; Passeriformes; Estrildidae
Source: Ensembl